GGGAGUGGUUGGAUUCCGGUGAGUUCCCCAGUCUUCAAAACUGGUGACAGGUCGCGGUGCGCUCUGUGGUGGGUUCGACUCCCAUGCACUCCCGCA
RNAcentral lists this transfer RNA (96 nucleotides) under Anaerolineae bacterium. Its description in RNAcentral is "tRNA-Sec". It matches the Rfam family "Selenocysteine transfer RNA". Lineage: Bacteria; Bacillati; Chloroflexota; Anaerolineae. The record is from RNAcentral.